CCUACGGGUGGCAGCAGUAAGGAAUAUUGGUCAAUGGACGCAAGUCUGAACCAGCCAUGCCGCGUGGAGGAUGAAGGCCUCUGGGUUGUAAACUUCAUGGGAACCCUUACCGGUACCUGAUGAAUAAGCACCGGCUAACUCCGUGCCAGCAGCCGCGGUAAUACGGAGGGUGCAAGCGUUAUCCGGAUUCACUGGGUUUAAAGGGUGCGUAGGUGGGUCUGUAAGUCAGUGGUGAAAUCUCCAAGCUUAACUUGGAAACUGCCGUUGAUACUAUAGAUCUUGAAUCACGUGGAGGUAAGCGGAAUAUGUCAUGUAGCGGUGAAAUGCUUAGAUAUGACAUAGAACACCGAUAGCGAAGGCAGCUUACUACCGGUAUUGACACUGAGGCACGAAAGCGUGGGGAUCAAACAGGAUUAGAUACCCUUGUAGUC
RNAcentral lists this ribosomal RNA (431 nucleotides) under uncultured bacterium. RNAcentral describes it as "partial 16S ribosomal RNA". It matches the Rfam family "Bacterial small subunit ribosomal RNA", at positions 338 to 795 of the family's 1533-position model. The record is from RNAcentral.